Molecule: ribosomal RNA, 461 nt
Filed under: uncultured bacterium
Lineage: Bacteria
Description: partial 16S ribosomal RNA
Rfam family: Bacterial small subunit ribosomal RNA
Source: RNAcentral
CCUACGGGUGGCUGCAGUGAGGAAUAUUGGUCAAUGGACGCAAGUCUGAACCAGCCAAGUAGCGUGCAGGAUGACGGCCCUCCGGGUUGUAAACUGCUUUUAGUUGGGAAUAAAAGGGGGCUCGUGAGCCCCGUAUUGUAUGUACCAUCAGAAAAAGGCCCGGCUAAUUCCGUGCCAGCAGCCGCGGUAAUACGGAAGGUCCGGGCGUUAUCCGGAUUUAUUGGGUUUAAAGGGAGCGUAGGCCGGCUUUCAAGUCAGCGGUAAAAUUGAGAGGCUCAACCUCUUCGAGCCGUUGAAACUGGUUUUCUUGAGUGAGCGAGAAGUAUGCGGAAUGCGUGGUGUAGCGGUGAAAUGCAUAGAUAUCACGCAGAACUCCGAUUGCGAAGGCAGCAUACCGGCGCUCAACUGACGCUCAUGCACGAAAGUGUGGGUAUCGAACAGGAUUAGAUACCCGAGUAGUC